CCAGACUCCUACGGGAGGCAGCAGUGGGGAAUAUUGCACAAUGGGCGCAAGCCUGAUGCAGCAACGCCGCGUGAGCGAAGAAGGUCUUCGGAUCGUAAAGCUCUGUCCUUGAGGAAGAAGGAAGUGACGGUACUCAAGGAGGAAGCCCCGGCUAACUACGUGCCAGCAGCCGCGGUAAUACGUAGGGGGCAAGCGUUAUCCGGAUUUACUGGGUGUAAAGGGAGCGUAGACGGUUAUGCAAGUCUGAAGUGAAAGCCCAAGGCUCAACCAUGGGACUGCUUUGGAAACUGUAAAACUGGAGUGCAGGAGAGGUAAGCGGAAUUCCUAGUGUAGCGGUGAAAUGCGUAGAUAUUAGGAGGAACACCAGUGGCGAAGGCGGCUUACUGGACUGUAACUGACGUUGAGGCUCGAAGGCGUGGGGAGCAAACAGGAUUAGAUACCCGUGUAC
This 448-nucleotide ribosomal RNA is filed under the name uncultured bacterium. RNAcentral's name for it is "bacterial SSU rRNA". It matches the Rfam family "Bacterial small subunit ribosomal RNA", at positions 331 to 793 of the family's 1533-position model. The record is from RNAcentral.